RNAcentral lists this ribosomal RNA (253 nucleotides) under uncultured bacterium. Its description in RNAcentral is "partial 16S ribosomal RNA". It matches the Rfam family "Bacterial small subunit ribosomal RNA", at positions 524 to 776 of the family's 1533-position model. The record is from RNAcentral.
UACGUAGGGACCAAGCGUUGUUCGGAUUUACUGGGCGUAAAGGGCGCGUAGGCGGCAAUUCAAGUCAGCUGUGAAAUCUCCGGGCUUAACUCGGAACGGUCAGCUGAUACUGCUUUGCUAGAGUGCAGAAGGGGCAAUCGGAAUUCCCGGUGUAGCGGUGAAAUGCGCAGAUAUCGGGAGGAACACCAAUUGCGAAGGCAGCUUGCUGGGACGGUACUGACGCUGAGGCGCGAAAGCGUGGGGAGCAAACAGG